This 1027-nucleotide ribosomal RNA is filed under the name Salmonella enterica. RNAcentral's name for it is "partial 23S ribosomal RNA". It matches the Rfam family "Bacterial large subunit ribosomal RNA", at positions 123 to 1190 of the family's 2925-position model. Lineage: Bacteria; Pseudomonadati; Pseudomonadota; Gammaproteobacteria; Enterobacterales; Enterobacteriaceae. The record is from RNAcentral.
GAAACCCAGUGUGACUCGUCACACUAUCAUUAACUGAAUCCAUAGGUUAAUGAGGCGAACCGGGGGAACUGAAACAUCUAAGUACCCCGAGGAAAAGAAAUCAACCGAGAUUCCCCCAGUAGCGGCGAGCGAACGGGGAGGAGCCCAGAGCCUGAAUCAGCAUGUGUGUUAGUGGAAGCGUCUGGAAAGGCGCGCGAUACAGGGUGACAGCCCCGUACACAAAAGCGCAUGUGCUGUGAGCUCGAUGAGUAGGGCGGGACACGUGGUAUCCUGUCUGAAUAUGGGGGGACCAUCCUCCAAGGCUAAAUACUCCUGACUGACCGAUAGUGAACCAGUACCGUGAGGGAAAGGCGAAAAGAACCCCGGCGAGGGGAGUGAAAAAGAACCUGAAACCGUGUACGUACAAGCAGUGGGAGCACAGGUUUACCUGUGUGACUGCGUACCUUUUGUAUAAUGGGUCAGCGACUUAUAUUCUGUAGCAAGGUUAACCGAAUAGGGGAGCCGGAGGGAAACCGAGUCUUAAUUGGGCGUUAAGUUGCAGGGUAUAGACCCGAAACCCGGUGAUCUAGCCAUGGGCAGGUUGAAGGUUGGGUAACACUAACUGGAGGACCGAACCGACUAAUGUUGAAAAAUUAGCGGAUGACCUGUGGCUGGGGGUGAAAGGCCAAUCAAACCGGGAGAUAGCUGGUUCUCCCCGAAAGCUAUUUAGGUAGCGCCUCGUGAAUUCAUCUCCGGGGGUAGAGCACUGUUUCGGCUAGGGGGCCAUCCCGGCUUACCAACCCGAUGCAAACUGCGAAUACCGGAGAAUGUUAUCACGGGAGACACACGGCGGGUGCUAACGUCCGUCGUGAAGAGGGAAACAACCCAGACCGCCAGCUAAGGUCCCAAAGUCAUGGUUAAGUGGGAAACGAUGUGGGAAGGCCCAGACAGCCAGGAUGUUGGCUUAGAAGCAGCCAUCAUUUAAAGAAAGCGUAAUAGCUCACUGGUCGAGUCGGCCUGCGCGGAAGAUGUAACGGGGCUAAACCAU